This 482-nucleotide ribosomal RNA is filed under the name uncultured bacterium. RNAcentral describes it as "partial 16S ribosomal RNA". It matches the Rfam family "Bacterial small subunit ribosomal RNA", at positions 30 to 507 of the family's 1533-position model. The record is from RNAcentral.
AUUGAACGCUGGCGGCAUGCUUUACACAUGCAAGUCGAACGGUAACAGGCCGCAAGGUGCUGACGAGUGGCGAACGGGUGAGUAAUGCAUCGGAACGUGCCCAGUCGUGGGGGAUAACUACUCGAAAGAGUAGCUAAUACCGCAUACGAUCUAUGGAUGAAAGCGGGGGACCGUAAGGCCUCGCGCGAUUGGAGCGGCCGAUGUCAGAUUAGGUAGUUGGUGGGGUAAAGGCUCACCAAGCCAACGAUCUGUAGCUGGUCUGAGAGGACGACCAGCCACACUGGGACUGGGACACGGCCCAGACUCCUACGGGAGGCAGCAGUGGGGAAUUUUGGACAAUGGGCGCAAGCCUGAUCCAGCAAUGCCGCGUGCAGGAAGAAGGCCUUCGGGUUGUAAAGUGCUUUUGUACGGAACGAAACGGCUCUGGUUAAUACCCGGGGCUAAUGACGGUACCGGAAGAAUAAGCACCGGCUAACUACGUG